CUUGUAAACUCCUGUAAAGAAGGAAAAAAUUCCCAUUUGAUGGGAGAUGAUGGUACUUCUGGAGUAAGCCCCGGCUAACUACGUGCCAGCAGCCGCGGUAAUACGUAGGGGGCAAGCGUUGUCCGGAUUUACUGGGUGUAAAGGGUGCUCAGGCGGAUUUGUAAGUCAGAGGUGAAAUCUUACAGCUUAACUGUGAAACUGCCUUUGAUACUGCAAGCCUAGAGUAUGGAAGAGAGCGAUGGAAUAUCCGGUGUCGCAGUGAAAUGCGUAGAUAUCAGAUAGAACACCAAUGGCGAAGGCAGUCACUUGGUCGAUUACUGACGCUAAAGCACGAAAGCGUGGGUAGCAAACA
RNAcentral lists this ribosomal RNA (352 nucleotides) under uncultured bacterium. Its description in RNAcentral is "bacterial SSU rRNA". It matches the Rfam family "Bacterial small subunit ribosomal RNA", at positions 422 to 774 of the family's 1533-position model. The record is from RNAcentral.